Molecule: ribosomal RNA, 497 nt
Filed under: uncultured Glomeromycotina
Lineage: Eukaryota; Fungi; Glomeromycota
Description: partial small subunit ribosomal RNA
Rfam family: Eukaryotic small subunit ribosomal RNA
Source: RNAcentral
CCAAUAGCGUAUACUAAAGUUGUUGCAGUUAAAAAGCUCGUAGUUGAAUUUCAGGCCUGGCUGGACGGUCCGCCCUUCGGGUGAGUACUGUCUGUGGUCGGGUCCUACCUUCUGGCGAAGCGUCAUGGCCUUAACCGGCCGUGGCGGGGAACCAGGACUUUUACUGUGAAAAAAUUAGAGUGUUCAAAGCAGGCAAUCGCUUGGAUACGUUAGCAUGGAAUAAUGGAAUAGGACAAUGGUUCUAUUUGUUGGUUUCUAGGACCGUUGUAAUGAUUAAUAGGGAUAGUUGGGGGCAUUAGUAUUCAAUUGUCAGAGGUGAAAUUCUUGGAUUUAUUGAAGACUAACUACUGCGAAAGCAUUUGCCAAGGAUGUUUUCAUUAAUCAAGAACGAAAGUUAGGGGAUCGAAGACGAUCAGAUACCGUCGUAGUCUUAACCAUAAACUAUGCCGACUAGGAAUCGGGCGAUGUUGACAAAAUGACGCGCUCGGCACCUCAUG